RNAcentral lists this ribosomal RNA (403 nucleotides) under Reticulitermes aculabialis. RNAcentral's name for it is "partial 16S ribosomal RNA". The record is from RNAcentral. Lineage: Eukaryota; Metazoa; Arthropoda; Insecta; Blattodea; Rhinotermitidae.
AAAAACAUCUUUUCUUGUUAGUUUUUGAAGUAUUGGCCUGCCCGCUGACUUUGGUGUUGAAGGGCCGCGGUAUUUUGACCGUGCAAAGGUAGCAUAGUCAUUAGUUCUUUAAUUGUGAUCUGGUAUGAAUGGCUUGACGAGGCAUGGGCUGUCUUAAUUUUGAAUUGUUUAUUGAAUUUAGUCUUUGAGUUAAAAUUCUUAGAUGUUUUUAUGGGACGAGAAGACCCUAUAGAGUUUGACAUUUGUUAUGGGUCCCUUUCUGUUUUGUGAGGGUUCACUGGGCCGUUUAAUAUGUUUUGUUGGGGUGAUGGGAGGGAUAUAAAUGAACCCCUCCUUUUGUUAUUAUAUUUAUUUAUAUUUACUUGAUCCAUUUAUUUUGAUUGUAAGAUUAAAUUACCUUAGG